GACGAACGCUGGCGGCGUGCUUAACACAUGCAAGUCGAACGGAAAGGCCCUGCUUUUGUGGGGUGCUCGAGUGGCGAACGGGUGAGUAACACGUGAGUAACCUGCCCUUGACUUUGGGAUAACUUCAGGAAGCUGGGGCUAAUACCGGAUAGGAGCUCCUGCUGCAUGGUGGGGGUUGGAAAGUUUCGGCGGUUGGGGAUGGACUCGCGGCUUAUCAGCUUGUUGGUGGGGUAGUGGCUUACCAAGGCUUUGACGGGUAGCCGGCCUGAGAGGGUGACCGGCCACAUCGGGACUGAGAUACGGCCCAGACUCCUACGGGAGGCAGCAGUGGGGAAUAUUGCACAAUGGGCGGAAGCCUGAUGCAGCAACGCCGCGUGCGGGAUGACGGCCUUCGGGUUGUAAACCGCUUUCGCCUGUGACGAAGCGUGAGUGACGGUAAUGGGUAAAGAAGCACCGGCUAACUACGUG
Molecule: ribosomal RNA, 468 nt
Filed under: uncultured bacterium
Lineage: Bacteria
Description: partial 16S ribosomal RNA
Rfam family: Bacterial small subunit ribosomal RNA
Source: RNAcentral